Biomphalaria pfeifferi is the source of this 936-nucleotide non-coding RNA. The record is from the annotation of a GenBank genome assembly. Lineage: Eukaryota; Metazoa; Mollusca; Gastropoda; Planorbidae.
GAAUGAAGCUCUGAAAGACAGAAUGCAGGGAAAUAAAGCUCUAAAAGACAGAAUGCAGGGAAAUGAGGCUCUGAAAGACAAAAUGCAGGAGAAUGUAAGAGAAUGAAGCUCUAAAGGACAGAAUGCAAAGGAAGAAGCACUGAAAGACAGAAUGCAGGGGAAUGAAGCUCUGAAAGACAGAAUGCAGGGGAAUAAAGCUUUGGAAGAUAGAAUGCAGAGGAAUGAAGCUCUGAAAGACAGAAUGCAUUGGAAUGAAGCUCUGAAGGACAGAAUGCAGGGGAAUGAGGCUCUGAACAACAGAAUGAAAGGAAAUAAGCUUUAGAGGACAGAAUGCAGGGAAAUGAAGCUUUGAAGGACAGAAUGCAGGGGAAUGAAGCUCUGAAAGACAAAAUGCAGGGAAAUGAAUCUCUGAAGGACAGAUUGCAUUGCAGAAAAGCUUUGAAGGACAGAAUGCAGGGGAAUGAAGCUCUGAAAGACAGAAUGCAGGGGAAUGAAGCUCUGAAGGACAUAAUACAGGGAAAUGAAGCUCUGAAGGACAGAAGUAGGGAAAUGAACCUCUAAAGGACAGAAUGCAGGGAAAUGAAGCUUUGGAGGUCAGAAUGCAGGGAAAUGACGCUCUAAAAGACAGAAUAGAGGAUAAUAAAGCUCUAAAAGACAGAAUGUAAUGGAAUGAAGCUCUGUAAGACAGAAUGCAAUGAAAUGAAGUUCUAAAAGACAGAAUGCAGGGGAAUAAAGCUCUGAAGGACAGAAUGCAGGAGUAUAAAGCUCUGAAAGACAGAAUGCAGUUGAAUGAAGCUCUGAAAGAUAGAAUGCAGAGGAAUGAAGCUCUGAAAGACAGAAUGCAGGGAAAUAAAGCUCUGAAAGACAGAAUGCAGGGAAAUGAAGCUCUGAAAGACAAAAUGCAGGAGAAUGUAAGAGAAUGAAGCUCUAAAGGAC